GAUUCCCAGUAAUUAGAGGAAGACAUUACUGAAGCACACAUACACGCAUGGGAAUUUAGAGAUUGUGAUCUAAAGAUAGAAAGAAAGAUGUCACCUUUUAAAAUACACCGGAAAUAUUUGUAUGUAGAAACAGUCUUCACUCAGCAAUUGCUAGUAAAUUUUACAAAUAAUUGUUCAAGGGAAAG
This is a long non-coding RNA of Sinocyclocheilus grahami, 185 nucleotides long. RefSeq lists it as uncharacterized. The record is from RefSeq and is a predicted model, not a curated record. The transcript has 3 exons. NCBI's taxonomy places the organism in Eukaryota, Metazoa, Chordata, Actinopteri, Cypriniformes, Cyprinidae.